Molecule: unclassified non-coding RNA, 266 nt
Filed under: Petasospora fabianii
Lineage: Eukaryota; Fungi; Ascomycota; Saccharomycetes; Phaffomycetales; Wickerhamomycetaceae
Also listed under: 1 other name
Description: Cyberlindnera fabianii partial internal transcribed spacer region
Rfam family: Eukaryotic small subunit ribosomal RNA (bases 1-46)
Source: RNAcentral
AAGUCGUAACAAGGUUUCCGUAGGUGAACCUGCGGAAGGAUCAUUUUAGUAUCUUAUGUUGCCUGCGCUUUAACUAGCGCGGCGACUAAAACCUUACACACAGUGCUUAGUUUUUUCUAACAUUGCUUUGCGUGGAAUAAGCCUAGCUUUUCUGCGCAGAGGUUAUCAAAACACAAGAUUUUUAUAUCUUUUAUUACAAAUUCUAGUCAAGAAGUUUUAUUAAAAACAAAUCUUCAAAACUUUCAACAACGGAUCUCUUGGUUCUC